CUCAACUAUUAGGCUUCGGGGAGUACUGCCAGACUUGGAACCGGGAGAGGUAAGAGGUACUACAGGGGUAGGAGUGAAAUACUUGUAAUCCCUGUGGGACCACCUGUGGCGAAGGCGUCUUACCAGAACGGGUUCGACGGUGAGGGACGAAAGCUGGGGGCACGAACCGGAUUAGAUACCCGGGUAGUCCCAGCCGUAAACGAUGCUCGCUAGGUGUCAGGCAUGGCGCGACCGUGCCUGGUGCCGCAGGGAAGCCGUGAAGCGAGCCACCUGGGAAGUACGGCCGCAAGGCUGAAACUUAAAGGAAUUGGCGGGGGAGCACAACAACGGGUGGGAAGCCUGCGGUUUAAUUGGACUCAACGCCGGACAACUCACCGGGGGCGACAGCAAUAUGUAGGCCAAGCUGAAGACUUUGCCUGAAUCGCUGAGUAGUGGUGCAUGG
RNAcentral lists this ribosomal RNA (442 nucleotides) under uncultured archaeon. RNAcentral's name for it is "bacterial SSU rRNA". It matches the Rfam family "Archaeal small subunit ribosomal RNA", at positions 558 to 997 of the family's 1478-position model. The record is from RNAcentral.